CCUACGGGAGGCAGCAGUGGGGAAUUUUGGACAAUGGGCGCAAGCCUGAUCCAGCCAUGCCGCGUGCGGGAAGAAGGCCUUCGGGUUGUAAACCGCUUUUGUCAGGGAAGAAACGGUCUGGGUUAAUACCCUGGGCUAAUGACGGUACCUGAAGAAUAAGCACCGGCUAACUACGUGCCAGCAGCCGCGGUAAUACGUAGGGUGCAAGCGUUAAUCGGAAUUACUGGGCGUAAAGCGUGCGCAGGCGGUUGUGCAAGACAGAUGUGAAAUCCCCGGGCUCAACCUGGGAACUGCAUUUGUGACUGCACAGCUAGAGUACGGUAGAGGGGGAUGGAAUUCCGCGUGUAGCAGUGAAAUGCGUAGAUAUGCGGAGGAACACCGAUGGCGAAGGCAAUCCCCUGGACCUGUACUGACGCUCAUGCACGAAAGCGUGGGGAGCAAACAGGAUUAGAUACCCUGGUAGUCCACGCCCUAAACGAUGUCAACUGGUUGUUGGGAAGGUUCCUUCUCAGUAACGUAGCUAACGCGUGAAGUUGACCGCCUGGGGAGUACGGCCGCAAGGUUGAAACUUAAGGAAUUGACGGCUGNGAGNGCGAGCGACGACGAGGGAGGAGG
RNAcentral lists this ribosomal RNA (615 nucleotides) under uncultured bacterium. Its description in RNAcentral is "bacterial SSU rRNA". It matches the Rfam family "Bacterial small subunit ribosomal RNA", at positions 338 to 947 of the family's 1533-position model. The record is from RNAcentral.